This 244-nucleotide long non-coding RNA is filed under the name Setaria italica (foxtail millet). Its description in RNAcentral is "long non-coding RNA (SITA_LNC007170)". The record is from RNAcentral. Lineage: Eukaryota; Viridiplantae; Streptophyta; Magnoliopsida; Poales; Poaceae.
GUACAUUGCAAACAAGUUGUAGACAGCCUUAUAUUAGGGAAUAGGAGACACCAGGAAAUCGAGCACCACAGAUAACUAAUGAUCUGUAUUCAUCUUGGAAUGGAGAUCUGCAAUGUUUCACUAGGAAUAGAUUGGCCUGCCCAGAACUCUGUGAAUCACGCCACGAACUACACCAGGAAUGAUGCAACGGUGGGCUGUGGAACCUUACAUGACGGAUCAGCUUGGACACAUGAUCGACCUCAAC